RNAcentral lists this microRNA precursor (93 nucleotides) under Pelobates cultripes (western spadefoot toad). Lineage: Eukaryota; Metazoa; Chordata; Amphibia; Anura; Pelobatidae. The record is from RNAcentral.
CCCCAGAUGUUGCUGAACUACAACUCCCAUGAUUCCUUGGCUAUCUGUUUCAUUGAAAGAAUCAUGGGAGUUGUAGUUCAGCAACAUCUGGGG